Ictidomys tridecemlineatus (thirteen-lined ground squirrel) is the source of this 7235-nucleotide non-coding RNA. Lineage: Eukaryota; Metazoa; Chordata; Mammalia; Rodentia; Sciuridae. The record is from RefSeq and is a predicted model, not a curated record.
GCUAGCGCCUGUCUCUUUAAAUGCCACGGGCUGCGCUCCCGCCCGGGAGCCCGGAGCCGGAUCUACAAUCCGUCCCUCCCGCUCCGGCGCUUGUUGCUCGCGCGGCCCGAGCGGGAGCUACCGCCGCCGGGAAGCGAGGCUGCCUCCUUCUCCUCGCGCCCCACGUCCCUCGAGAGCUGGCUGAGCGCGGCCAGCAGGGCCUGCGGGAGGGAGGGGGCGCGGUGUGAACAGGAAUUGCCCCCCACCUUCAAGUCUUGGGGCGCCACCCAGCCGCGGGGAAGACAUGCUUCUCUACCCCCUGCCCAGCGUCGCUGCCGCCGGUGCUGGGCGAGGAGGGACUGCGGAGCCCACACCCGCAAACUCGUCCUAGAAGUCUCGGGGUGCGGCAAGGGGCCCCUCCCAAUUUCCCUCGGCUUCCACCUCCCUGCGGGUGGCCGCAGCCCCUGUCCGGGGACCUGUGCCAAUGACCCUAGUGGCGGUUUCGCUUUCUCCCCUCGCGGCGGUGUGAACGUGCGUCCACAGCGUGAUGGGCAACCAGGUGGAGAAACUGACCCACCUAAGUUACAAGGAAGUUCCAACGGCCGACCCUACUGGUGUGGACCGGGACGACGGCCCCCGCAUCGGUGUCUCUUAUAUCUUUUCCAAUGACGACGAGGACGUAGAGCCACAGCCACCGCCCCAAGGGCCGGAUGGCGGUGGCUUGCCUGACUGUGGGGAGCAGCCGCCGCUACCCCCGCCGCAGCCUUACGACCCGCGGCUACACGAGGUAGAGUGCUCAGUGUUCUAUCGCGACGAGUGCAUCUACCAGAAAAGCUUUGCGCCAGGCUCGGCGGCGCUGAGCACUUACACACCUGAGAACCUGCUCAACAAGUGCAAUCCAGGCGACCUGGUGGAGUUUGUGUCUCAGGCGCAGUACCCGCACUGGGCGGUAUACGUGGGCAACUUCCAGGUGGUCCAUCUGCACCGGCUGGAGGUGAGCAACAGCUUUCUGACUGACGCGAGCCAGGGCCGACGUGGCCGUGUGGUCAACGAUCUGUACCGCUACAAGCCUCUGAGCCCCAGUACCGUGGUGCGCAACGCGCUAGCGCACGUGGGCGCCAAGGAGCGCGAGCUCAGCUGGCGCAAUUCAGAGAGCUUUGCCGCCUGGUGCCGCUAUGGCAAGCGCGAGUUCAAGAUCGGCGGCGAGCUGCGCAUCGGCAAGCAGCCCUACCGCUUGCAGAUUCAGCUCUCGGCUCAGCGCAGCCACACGCUGGAGUUCCAGAGCCUGGAGGACUUGAUCAUGGAGAAGCGGCGAAACGACCAGAUCGGACGCGCGGCGGUACUGCAGGAGCUCGCCAUGCACCUGCACCCAGCGGAGCCGGACGAGGGCGACAGCGAUGCGGCGCGGACUACGCCGCCUCCCAGGCCCACCCCUUCACCAGGCUUGGAGGGGGAGGAUGGAGAGGCUGUGGCACACUGACCGGCGAGUGGAGGGCAGCACUGCAAAAGGGAGCUAUUUGCAGCAGCUGCUGCCCCUUUUCAACUCCUCUUCCUCCCUUCCUCCCUCCCUCCUCUGCCGCCACCUGGGCCCCACUGGGAUUCCUGGGCCCUUUGGAAAAUGGAGAGUUGGAGAAAUACACAGCCGGCUGUGAACAGGGAAGGAGGAAGGGAACAGAGGGAGCAGCCCAACUGCCUGAGGAGCCCCUGUGAUUGCCACCAGAGGCCAAGCCACUCUUAUCCUGGAGUCAGCAUGACCACUGCAAGCCCUGGUCCCUUGCUCAGCACGAGUCAGAUGACAACACACCGCCUCUGGAUGCAGCCUUUGUUCCAAGAGUCCUGGGGUCCUAAGCUGUGGAGUGGACACGUGCCUGAAGAUAGCCCUGCUGGACAAUGUGCCUUGGGAAUUUGAAUCUCUAGGGCUGUAUCAUAGUGGCAGAAGUGAAUGGAAUGAAUUUCUUCUGGAAGAGGCAUUCUGACGAGGCUCUUUAUUGGUUCCUGCUACCCUGAACCCUUGGGAUAACUUCUGCUUGUCUUUUUGUUGUAUUUUGAGUCUCUAUUUAGUCCCAUUUUAAAAAAAUCUUCCAUGGAAAACCCAGUUCUCCUGCCUAUGCCCCCAAAACCCUGAUAGACUUUUUAACUUUUUUUUUUUUUUAAUCUUUCUCACAGCCCUGCCGCAUUCUGGGAGAUAAGUCUUUUCUUCUAUUAGCUCCUGUUAUUUAUCCACCUCUCAUAGCAUGUCUGUCUUCCUCCAUUACAUUCUGCCACUUGGGUUCUAACCUGCUCCAACCACUCAAGACACAGCACAGUCCUUGUCGUGAGAUGAAUCAUGUUCACCCUCUUUAUAUUCAUAUAUUGAAAUCCUGAUUCCCGGUACCUGAGAAUGUGACUGAUUUGGGAAAUAGAGUCUUUAAAGAGGUAAUUAAAGUUCCAAGAUAUCAUUGGAUAAGACCAUAACUCAACAUGACUGGUAUCCUCCAGAGAAGAAGAGAUUAGGAAGCGCACGCGAGUGCCAAAAGUAGUGCCUGGAGAUGGCAUGGGAGACCCAUGAUUUACUGGAGAAGGCUUAGAUCAGGGAUUGCUCCAAGAAGAGUCUAGGGACAACAGCUGAAAGAGUGACAACUCCAUCCCAUAAGGUACCUCUCCAAGCAGAGCCUCCAUUCCUUAUGACACCGCUCCAGGAACACUGCCUGUGUCCCUCACAGCACUUGGUCGAUUGGUGGCUGAUGGGAAAAGUGACACGUGCCUCCCCACAGUAUCCUCAACUCUGGUGCCAGUUACCACAGAAAUAGGGUUUUGUAGGUGAAUUGGUGGAAGCCAUGGCAUCGUUAACCUGCUAAGUCUGCUUUGUUCUUUUAGGGCCAGCAUUCCAAGGAGUAGCUUUUCCCAUGCCAUUUCAAGCAAGCCAUUUCAAAGGACAGAUAACAUCACCUUGUCUUAGUCUCCAUCAUCAUGAGAAAAGGCAGAGUCCUGCAAGGUAACAGUCACAUAUGCUUUCCAGCCCAUGCCUCUCCUGUUCCCUGGAUGAGGCUUGGGUCCGGGAACCAAGGGGCAUCUCAGGAACAUGGAAUUCUUUUGCUGACAUUCACCUUUCUUUAGGGCUGACACACAAGGCCAGGGUAAGUUUCUGGCCUUAGUAGAAACCAGCCCUGCUAACAGCUUGAUCUCAUACUCCCAGCCUCCAGAUAUGUCAGAAAAUAAAUUCUUAUUAGUCAUCCAAACUAUAGCACCUUGACAUGGCAGCCCUAGCUGAUGGUGAUAGUGGCCAGGGAUGCAGACUCUGGGUGGGGCCACCUGCAUCAAAUGUCCCUGGAACUAUGGGCAAGUCAUUUUACUAUCGAGUACUGACAUUUUGUGGUGAUGUUGGAGGAAAGGAGGAAGACAGCAGAAGAUGUUUGAGACUCAGUCAAGUCCGACAGGAAGCGAGAGAAAGGGAUAAAUAGGCAGAAUUUCUCCUUCCAAAUUCCCAUUGCCUCAAGUCACUCCUCCUGGUCCAGACAGAGCAGAGGGGACAAUUGGGUUUUGCUCAUCCCUGUGAUAGGAAUUCCCUGCCUACUGAGUUAAUGGUUAGGAACAAAAGAGAAAUAGUUAAUCUAAAAGCAAUUCUAUUUGUGUGCUUUGGACAAGUCCCUGACCUCCCCAUGCCCUCUUUCCUAAUCUCUAAAGUGGUAAUGACAACACUUGCAUCUUAGAGCAUUGUUGGAUGUAGCCCAUGGCAGAAAAUGCAUUUAACUUGCAAAAUAUUCUCUGCCCGGUGUCCAAAUUCCUUAAAGGCAAGCACUCUGGUUUUAUCAUUCACCUUUUCAUUUCAUGUUGUAAUUCAGGGGCAGAUAUACGGCAGCAGCCUGCUUACAUUUGCUGGAUGACUAAGUGGUGGCUGUUAUUAUUAAAGGAGACAGUCAACAGAUGGACAGUUGCUCAGGGCUGGGGCUGUUGUCUGUUAGUUUUAUGUGCUAGCCCCAGGCUAGUGGCCAUGAUGGCAGAGCAUCAUUUAAGGUUCAGAUGGAGCGUACAUCAAAAAUGACGAUAAAGGAAGAAACACAUAGUUUUCGACAUCUAAAUUUUCUGCUGAAAUGUUCACUUCCAGAGUGGGUGGAAAAUGUGUAUACUAAUCACAAUGAAUUAUUUGUAAAUGGAAGAGUGUGUCUGGGGGUUAUUGUCCUCCUUCCUCAACACACACACACACACACACACACACACACACACACUUAUACCAGCCCAUCUAUCACAUAUUAACAAAGGUAAAUUGCUCCCUGUCUUUCUAUUUCCAAUGAGGCAAAUUUCAACAUCUUACGCCGCACAUACAAAACUUUUGCAUGAAGUUCACAGAACACUUGUUUUUCUCAUGUUUUUCCUCCUGCUUCUAAUGUUCAGAUACAGGGUUUGCUCAGCCCUGGCGGAUCUACGCAUGCUUUUCAGCAAGCGUGCAACUGCCUCCUCCACCUCCCCCCCUCAGCUCUGGCACAGCCUUCCUAGGUCCAGAGAGGAGUGAUUUCCAGGAGUGUGGCCCCACCUCUCCCCAUCAAAACCCAUUGCCCCAGAGUGUCAUCAUUCAUUCACACACUGGUCUCUGACGUUGAACCAGGAGCUCCUCCAGAGCAGCGUCUGGCAUCUUCAUCCCUGCAUCUGUCACCCAUUUCAGCAAGUCACAGGACGGAGUGAAUGUUCUAUAGCUUCCAUUAAUGGAAGGCCUACUUUGUGCCAGGUACUAGGAUAAAAUAUUUAUACUCAGAUCAUUUAACCUCCUGAUGUGAUGAAAUGAAGGCUAAGAGAAGCUAAGCCACCUGUCCAAAUCCUUCCAGUCGUUAGAGUAGGAACUUGAACUCAGGACUGAGCAACUGAUGAGGCAUUGAGCACACAUUUCAUGAGCAUCUGCUGUGCUCGGGAUGAAGCCUUGCAGUGUUCUCUGGGUCGAGCACAAACAUUUUAAAAUAUCUUCUUUUGAAAUAGCAGGACCUAGGGGGAAAGGUGAGACAGGUUCCCUUUAAAAACCCAAGUCAAAGGCAGCAGUGAGGAAGGGGAGCAAGGACAGAUUGGCAAGGACUCCUAAUGAAGAGGCUUCUCUGCAUUCAUUUCCUCACCUGGGAAAGAAGGGGGCUUGGUAUCCCCAGAGAAGGGUAAUAGGAGAAGAAGCACUGACCCUGAGGCCCGGAAGGUGUGAAUGACUCAGGCUGUCUAUGAUGUUUAUUGCCCACUUUUCUAAGCUCAAGGACCCCAAUUUCAAAAAUCUAUUUAAUCUAUUUGCCACCUACAAACACAUUUUUUAUCAUAGCAACCAAUGCGCAGUAGCACAGCUACCCCCAUCCUCCCUCCACCCGGCUGCCCCAGCCGCUGCCUUCCUUGACUGAAAGCCCCUUUCCCUCCCACCCUCGGCAGCUGCUCACAUUCCUCCAAAUCUAUGUUCUCCUCCUCCAGGAGGGGUUCCUGAACCUCAGGCUAGAGGACUCAUCCUCCCCUUCUGCAUUCACAUUUGUCACUAUCGUGUGUGUGUGUGUGUGUGUGUGUGUGUGUGUGUGUGUGUUCCUUCACUCCCAGAAGUGAAGGGGCUUUAAUGCCUAAGCAAUGCUUCAGCCGCAUCUUAGCCGGGGCUCAGGGCUCCUGUCCACCUGGUCCCUUUGAAUGUUAGACAGCAGCACUGACGACACAGAGUAUUCCAAAUGGAGAAGAUAAAGCAGAGAGCAAUCAGAAAGAAUAUCUAUGUGUAUGUUUCGGUAGAUUGUCCAGAGAAAACUUGGAAAGAAAAAAACUUGUAUCUCAAAGCCCCCAGAAAUCUGUUUUGAGCUAUUUCUCAUUUAAAAAAAAAUACUCACUGAUUUAAUUUCAUACCUAAUCUUGUGAUUUUAUUUUGAUGUUUCCAAGAGGGUCCUCCUAGUCUGUGUAAGCUGCAGGGACCACACAUCUUGGAUCUGUUCCUAUUACUUUGUAUUACAACUGACUGGCUUUCUCUCCUCUGCUCAGAUGUGGGCUUUUGGAUGUGGGUGUCUGACUUACCUGUGCAUUUUCAGAGCUCAGUUAGACUUACUUCCCCCAUGCCUGAGAAGAAACCUCCCACAUCUAAGGAUGAAGCCACCUGCUCCCUCCCAGGUUGAAUUUUUUUUUUUUUGAACCUGAAGUCAUCUCUCACAGAAUGCUUGAGAGCAAACCUCUAGGUGGUCUCACCUGGACUGUCUAGGUGCAAAGGAGGUGGUUAACCAGGGUGGCCAGUUCACUGGCAGAAAUAUUACAGAUCUUCCAUCUCCUUAAUAGGUUGCUCCUACUAUUUCCACCUCCCUGCACUGCUCUCCAGCAGCCAGAUGGGCUGUGCACCUGAUGGACCAACAGCCCUGACCUGCAGAGGGCCAGACAGCCUUCCCAUGACUCAACCAAAUGAAGCACCUCAUGGCUAUUUAACCACUUGCCUCUGGACACACAUGCAGCAGCCCCUUUCUGGAGUCCUUUAUUGCUCCUGGAUCUGGCACAGUGAGCAUAUGACAACUUGGUUUUUGAAUCUUUGCAUUCAGUCCUUUCUAUUGCAAAACUUCAAGUUAUGCAUUCCAAAGGAGGCUCCUUCCAUAUGUUACUUUGAACUGAGAAACUUAAAAAAAAAAAAAACAGCAAAGGCAAAGGAGAUGCUUUCUCUGAGCUCCUCUUAUCUGCCUGCAGACAGAGUCUCCAAAUGGAACUGAACUAUCAUCAAGGCCCUGCCUUGGAGCUUCAUCAACCGGGGAAGGUUAACUCAUCAUGUCACGGGAGAGACUGAAACACCACCUGAGAUAAACUUUGUCACAAGCGAUCCUCUGUUCUCCUAAGGUCUAGUCCCCCAAGUUACUGACUCCCUCUGUACUGCCUAUAUCACCCUCCUUGCUACCCUGUGAGGAGGAGGGAUAAGCUCCCCAGUCUCAUUCCCCAGUAAAUUAACUUGUUAGAUUUCACAUAGACAAGAACUGGGGAGUUCUGGAUUCAAACCAGAGCCUGUUAUUUCUCUGCAGUCAAGGGAGAUAAGCCUGUCCUAACUCGUGGAUUAUUUGUGCCCUCCACCACAAUGAUGCCUGGGAAGGGGCCAUGACCCAAAAAUGGCACCGGGAGGGGCAACAGCAUGAGGAACGUUAAAGCGGACCCUGCCUGGGAGGUGACCCCCAGAUCCCAGAUUGAUUUGACAAAACCUGUUCCCAGAUUGUACCGGGCUUUGAACCACAGAGAUAGUUUCAUUAACCUCCUCGUAUUUCUGGGUUGAAUUAUAUAAAAUUGAUGUAUGUAAAGGUAAUUUUUUUUUUACAAUU